Molecule: long non-coding RNA, 544 nt
Filed under: Phoenix dactylifera (date palm)
Lineage: Eukaryota; Viridiplantae; Streptophyta; Magnoliopsida; Arecales; Arecaceae
Description: long non-coding RNA (PDAC_LNC000810)
Source: RNAcentral
GAGAGCGAUAGAGAGGGUAGAGGGAGGGGGCGAGAGAACAGAGAGAGAGAGGUUCUCCUCCUUGCUCGUUUUCCUCUUUAUUUGUUGGUCCGUCUAGAAUUUUUGAUCGAAUGCCGGAGAGGUUCUUGUUUUAGGGUUUAUCUUUCUGAUGUUUUGUUUUCGAUGAAUUCCCAAUUCUUGAUUCUGAGUUCUUUUCUUUCUAGGGGUUUUGAUUUUCAAUGAACUUUUAAUUCUUUUUUCUGAGUUCUUGAUGAAAACUAUAGUCUUUUUUGACGUUCCCAUGAUAGCACAUGUUAAUCCGUAAUCAGACCUACCAGUACUGCCAAUAAAAUCAUCAUUCUUUGAUUGUAUUGGCAAUAAUACCUUGCUUUUUCAAUGCUCUGACCUUUCAGUAAUAUCUUUGAUCCUAGAGAAAGCAACAAACAAUAACUGUCAGUGUCUAUACUAUCUACCUUUUUGAAUGGGCAACUCAAUUUUAGUAUAACUUUUAUUUUGGUUAUAGAAAAUUCUUUAUUUUAUUUGGUAUAGAUUUUUUAUCUAGANN